UUUAUUAGUGCUGAUAAACAGUGCAGAAUAUUCAAAUUCAUUAAUCUAAAUUAAAUUAUUAUUAAUUAAUUUUACAUGUCUGUUAAUGUACAUUGCUGCUAAACCAUUAUUAAAAUGCAUAACUCUUUUCCUCAUAAUUCAGACCAUCCAUUUUCAUCGACUUACCCUUGAUAAUGUUAACGUAAAGACACUUCACGAGGAGCUUCAGAUCGUGUAAAGUCCAGUGCUUCUUUACCUGCUGUUAUUCCGGUGGAAAAAAUGCUAUUUCGUUGCUUAAAAUGAUGAUUUCUGGUCUUUUCCAGAGGUUAUCAUUGCAUUUCUCAGGCAAAAGGCGUGGCUUCAUCAAAUAAGUCCAAUCGCAAACUAGGUAGGAGUUUCUCAGCUGUGCAGCAAAGGUACAUCUGCCUUUGAUUGACGUGUCAUCCACCAAUAAAAAUCCAGCGUGCCACUUCAUCAUAGUCCAGUUUGUGAGGGCGGGCUGAGACGCUUUGUCAGCAGUGAUGUCUCGCUAUGUGCGGCGUGGCCCCAGGAGAGUAAAUGGUUGCUCACAUAAAAAUACACAUUCAGAAUCUGAGCGACAAAGUUUUUAGUUUUAUGUUUAAAUGAAAAACAAUGACACUGCAGAGUGUUACACAUGAGCGGUUUGUUUUGUUGCAUAUGCAAUUGGUCUUUUAUUUUGAAAAAUCGUUUGGGAAGGAAGAGGUUUUAGUGAAACCCAGCUGAAGGGCUCAGGUGGGUAAACCACAUGCUGAAUAGAGCUUUUUACAUGUCAUUUUGCAGGUGAGUAGAAGUGUACAGUCGCGCUUUGUUGUAUCUGUGUGAGCUUUCAUUUUGCACAUGUAGCCAGUCUUGAGCAGCUAGCAACAGUUGGCUAACAUUAGUCUAAGUGAGUCUCAUCAUACAUGGCAGGCAUCUCUCAUAAUACGUAUUUGACAUAUUAUGUAUUUGAAAUAAAGAAAGAUGGGCAACCUGCCUGAUGGAGUCAGACCUCGCAGUCCUGUUUGGACACACACACACACACACACACACACACACACACACACACACACACACACACACACACACACACAGUUUAAAGAAGCUUUAUUAAAAAACAAACAAAAAGAUAUAACAUUGCAGCACAGGUGAACACCUCCACCCUCCCUGUGAGCUCAGGUGGAGGUGUGAGUGAAGUUAAAGGUUCCUCUGAGAGUGUUAAGGAAUAUACUCUAAAACACUUCUUCAGCAAAGACUCAGAGAAGAGAAACACACAGAACUUCUUGCUAGUAAGGGCGGCCUCCAGCACUGAGGCUUGCGCUGAGAAACUGCCCCGGUCUUUAUUUAUACUUCAGUGUGUGUGUGUGUGUGUGUGUGUGUGUGUGUGUGUGUGUGUGUGUGUGUGUGUGUGUGUGUGUGUGUGUGUGUGUGUGUGUGUGUGUGGUCAGAGUGUGACCCCAUAAAAUCUUCCCUAAACCUGCUGGUCUCAAAGUCCAACAGUUCAUCAAACCAAAAGGCACUUAGACUAGAACUGACAUAGCUACGUUAAUCCUACCGUAAAACAAUAAGACAAGGUACGACCUCUCCCAUGCUCCCAGGAUGUGGGGUGGAGCCAGAACACCCUGGAAUGUUACAGACCUCCUAGGAUGAGACAUUCUUUCAAUAUGCCACCAACUAAUACUUCUACACACAAAUGAUUACAUGCAGCAUUCUACCAUAUGCAAACUUAUAUCACUAAAAGAUUAUACUGACUACUAAGUACAAUUUUCCAUUGACAGAGAGCAUCACACUGAGCAGAUCCAGCUGACCUCUGUGGAUCAGAUGUUACACACGGCUUUGUGCUGAUCUGAGGCCAGUCUGCAGGCACAGCCAGGAGCUGAGCUCUGAUUGGUCCUCUCUGACAGUGGGAUGAUGAUGAUGCUCAGUGUGAAGAGCACAGAGGGUCGUAUGAACAUACAUGAUGCUGAGCCACUAACAUGCAGACACAGGUAAAAGUAAAACAGCUAAUGGGUCAUGUGACCAACAUAGAGUCUGCAGACAGACAGAAGAAGAAGAAACUGAGAGGACAACGCUCCAUCGUUAGUUCAUACAUGAGAGACAGCUUCAGCUGUUACACUGAGCUUCCUGUUUCACAUCCAUGGAGAAGGACGAGCUGACGGCAGCCUCCUCUUCAUCAUCUCCAGCUUCAUCACAUCAGACUGGCUGACUGUUCAGUGGAUGAGAUUCUGCAACGUUCUUCUUUCUGUGGACAGACAGACACAGACUGAGCUCUGGACUCCCAGUCCAAACUGCACCUGCAGGUCCUCUGGUGUCCAGCAGAGGCAGCAGUGAGUCAGUUCCUAUCUGGUCGUUAAGUCUGACGUCAUGAGCUGCUUCAGCUUUCAAAGGAACACUGUGGCAUCACUGCGAGUUACAAACUGUCUAAACUCUUUCUUUUCAAACUAAAGCAUCACAAGGUCCACGUCUAGCUGUCUGUAAUGGAGGCGGAGCAAACUGGAUCCGCACUCCAUGCCUAGUGAACGCUCACGACGCAGUUUGUCGGGGACGCCUACCUCGGCACAACACCUGGUUUGGCAGCACAUAGCGAGGCUCCAGAUGCUGCGAACUCCAGACCACCGACAGGUCUCGCACACAACAGCCGCUCCAUCACGUGACCCACACUGCUCCGACAUGCAAAGGUCACUAUAUUUAAUGGAUCCUGUUACGUUUUUUCCCCCAAUAUGUGAUCCAGUGAUUUAGGUCAGGAUUGGACCGAUACUGAUACGUAGCACCGGCUCGGUCCCUCCCUACUUUAUGUAUAUGUGUUUAGAGAAGCUAGUGUAAGGUUCAGCAUGAAGAGGCCACCUGUAGCCACGGGAAGCCGGCGGUAAGGUGUGUCCAUGGUGUGAUGUGUGCGGCACAGUCAUGCUGCAGUCUGUAGGACGUCCUGCUUUAAGUCAGCCGCCAUCGUUGCAGUGCCCAGAAGAACACAGGGAGCUGCUUGAAUCGUCCAGUUGCUCUAACACCAUAAUCACCACAUGUUUUGAGCCUCAUACUGGCAGACUUAGAUCAUGUCACACAAACGCCAACGUAAUCC
Astatotilapia calliptera (eastern happy) is the source of this 3052-nucleotide long non-coding RNA. Lineage: Eukaryota; Metazoa; Chordata; Actinopteri; Cichliformes; Cichlidae. The record is from Ensembl.